RNAcentral lists this ribosomal RNA (253 nucleotides) under uncultured bacterium. RNAcentral describes it as "partial 16S ribosomal RNA". It matches the Rfam family "Bacterial small subunit ribosomal RNA", at positions 524 to 776 of the family's 1533-position model. The record is from RNAcentral.
GACAGAGGGUGCAAACGUUGUUCGGAAUUACUGGGCGUAAAGCGUGUGUAGGCGGCUUCCUAAGUCGGAUGUGAAAGCCCCGGGCUCAACCUGGGAAGUGCACUCGAAACUGGGAAGCUUGAGUAUCGGAGAGGUUGGUGGAAUUCUCGGUGGAGAGGUGAAAUUCGUAGAUAUCGAGGGGAACACCAGUGGCGAAGGCGGCCAACUGGACGAAUACUGACGCUGAGACACGAAAGCGUGGGGAGCAAACAGG